AGAUUGAACGCUGGCGGCAGGCCUAACACAUGCAAGUCGAGCGGUAGAGAGGUGCUUGCAUCUCUUGAGAGCGGCGGACGGGUGAGUAAUGCCUAGGAAUCUGCCUAGUGGUGGGGGAUAACGUUCGGAAACGGACGCUAAUACCGCAUACGUCCUACGGGAGAAAGCGGGGGACCUUCGGGCCUCGCGCCAUUAGAUGAGCCCAGGUCGGAUUAGCUAGUUGGUGAGGUAAUGGCUCACCAAGGCGACGAUCCGUAACUGGUCUGAGAGGAUGAUCAGUCACACUGGAACUGAGACACGGUCCAGACUCCUACGGGAGGCAGCAGUGGGGAAUAUUGGACAAUGGGCGAAAGCCUGAUCCAGCCAUCGCCGCGUGUGUGAAGAAGGUCUUCGGAUUAGUAAAGCUAACUUUAA
This 414-nucleotide ribosomal RNA is filed under the name uncultured soil bacterium. RNAcentral's name for it is "bacterial SSU rRNA". It matches the Rfam family "Bacterial small subunit ribosomal RNA", at positions 26 to 438 of the family's 1533-position model. The record is from RNAcentral.